This 253-nucleotide ribosomal RNA is filed under the name uncultured bacterium. Its description in RNAcentral is "partial 16S ribosomal RNA". It matches the Rfam family "Bacterial small subunit ribosomal RNA", at positions 524 to 776 of the family's 1533-position model. The record is from RNAcentral.
UACGUAGGGGGCGAGCGUUGUCCGGAUUUAUUGGGCGUAAAGAGCGUGUAGGCGGUUCGGUAAGUCUGUCGUGAAAUCCUGAGGCUCAACCUCGGGCGUGCGAUGGAUACUGCCGGGCUAGAGGGUGGUAGAGGCGAGUGGAAUUCCCGGUGUAGCGGUGAAAUGCGCAGAUAUCAGGAGGAACACCCGUGGCGAAAGCGGCUCUCUGGGACGGUACUGACGCUGAGACGCGAAAGCGUGGGGAGCGAACAGG